Molecule: transfer RNA, 71 nt
Filed under: Camelus ferus (Wild Bactrian camel)
Lineage: Eukaryota; Metazoa; Chordata; Mammalia; Artiodactyla; Camelidae
Rfam family: tRNA
About the family: Transfer RNA (tRNA) molecules are approximately 80 nucleotides in length. Their secondary structure includes four short double-helical elements and three loops (D, anti-codon, and T loops). Further hydrogen bonds mediate the characteristic L-shaped molecular structure. tRNAs have two regions of fundamental functional importance: the anti-codon, which is responsible for specific mRNA codon recognition, and the 3' end, to which the tRNAs corresponding amino acid is attached (by aminoacyl-tRNA synthetases). tRNAs cope with the degeneracy of the genetic code in two manners: having more than one tRNA (with a specific anti-codon) for a particular amino acid; and 'wobble' base-pairing, i.e. permitting non-standard base-pairing at the 3rd anti-codon position.
Source: Rfam by way of RNAcentral
GAGGGUAUAGCUCACUGGUAGAGUGCCUGCUUAGUAUGCAUGAAUUCCUGGGUUUGAUCCCCGGUACCUCG